Molecule: long non-coding RNA, 568 nt
Filed under: Salmo salar (Atlantic salmon)
Lineage: Eukaryota; Metazoa; Chordata; Actinopteri; Salmoniformes; Salmonidae
Description: lncRNA (ENSSSAG00000093216.1)
Source: RNAcentral
AAAAUUGUUAAAUUACGAGCCUAGUUGGUUUAGCCACAGAAAAAGUGAGCAACCUUCCCGCUAGCCAUGAUUGGCUGAGAUAAUGAGUGGGUUGGACAUGCCGAGAAAUUAGUUUGGAUUGGUCUGCCAUAUAGCACGCGUCUGUCUAUUGGAGCUGGUCAGUAUGUCUAGGUAAUAGUGUCGAACGCAGCUUUUUAAAAAAAAAUGUAUCACGUGGUAAAACUGCAUAAACCUAAUGUCAAGUUAAAGUGUACUGUUAGCUAGCUAACGUUAGAUGGCUGGCUCGAUAGCUAACGUUUAUAUGGUCAUUGGCAGCAGAGAACCGGAAGGAGAGGCGGCCGAAGGAGGAAUUGGCUUUGGGGGUGACCAGUGAGAUAUACCUGCUGGAGCGCGUGCUACAGACAGAUAAGGACUGUCACAAUCCCGCCGGUACUGCUGCUCAUUCCGUUCACCAGCAUCAGAGGUCUACGUCGCCGGCCUUCUUGGCGUCACUGAACUGGAUUCAUUACAACCAACCCCGGACUGUCUUGCCUCAUUACACACACCUGGUUCCCAUUCCCCCUGAUUA